AUUGAACGCUGGCGGCAUGCUUUACACAUGCAAGUCGAACGGCAGCACGGGUGCUUGCACCUGGUGGCGAGUGGCGGACGGGUGAGUAAUACAUCGGAACGUGUCCAGAAGAGGGGGAUAACGCAUCGAAAGAUGUGCUAAUACCGCAUAUACUCUAAGGAGGAAAGCAGGGGAUCGAAAGACCUUGCGUUUUUGGAGCGGCCGAUGUCUGAUUAGCUAGUUGGUGAGGUAAAGGCUCACCAAGGCGACGAUCUGUAGCGGGUCUGAGAGGAUGAUCCGCCACACUGGAACUGAGACACGGUCCAGACUCCUACGGGAGGCAGCAGUGGGGAAUUUUGGACAAUGGGCGCAAGCCUGAUCCAGCCAUGCCGCGUGAGUGAAGAAGGCCUCGGUUGU
This 396-nucleotide ribosomal RNA is filed under the name uncultured bacterium. RNAcentral describes it as "bacterial SSU rRNA". It matches the Rfam family "Bacterial small subunit ribosomal RNA", at positions 30 to 426 of the family's 1533-position model. The record is from RNAcentral.